Dipodomys ordii (Ord's kangaroo rat) is the source of this 126-nucleotide small nucleolar RNA. The record is from Ensembl. Lineage: Eukaryota; Metazoa; Chordata; Mammalia; Rodentia; Heteromyidae.
CCCUCCAAUGAAGGCAUGUCUUCUGUUCUCUGCUUUGGAUAUGUAAGAAUUGGAGGGAAAGAAAUAUGAAUAAGGAGAAAUCUGGAGCUAGCUCCUUGCAGGCUCAAGAUCAACCACACCACAUAG